UGCAGAAUCCCGUGAAUCAUCGAGUCUUUGAACGCAAGUUGCGCCCGACGCCAUUCGGCCGAGGGCACGUCUGCCUGGGUGUCACGCACCGUUGCCCCCAAACGCCCCCGCCUCGCAAGGGGCGCGGGAUCUCGUUUGGUGGCGGAAGUUGGCCUCCCGUGGGCCUGUGCUCGCGGUUAGCCUAAAAAGGAGUCCUCGGCGACGAGCGCCACGACAAUCGGUGGUUGAUUAGACCUCGGUCCCCGUCGUGCGUGUCUGGUCGCCACAAGGUGUGACUCGUCGACCCUAACGCGUCGUACCCACGUCGCUCCCAACGCGACCCCAGGUCAGGCGGGACUACCCGCUGAGUUUAAGCAUAUCAAUAAGCGGAGGAAAAAGAAACUUACAAGGAUUCCCUUAGUAACGGCGAGCGAACCGGGAAGUGCCCAGCUUGAGAAUCGGACGUCGCGAGGCGUUCGA
This 459-nucleotide ribosomal RNA is filed under the name Fagus sylvatica (European beech). RNAcentral's name for it is "eukaryotic LSU rRNA". The stretch from base 317 to 459 matches the Rfam family "Eukaryotic large subunit ribosomal RNA", at positions 1 to 141 of the family's 3401-position model. Lineage: Eukaryota; Viridiplantae; Streptophyta; Magnoliopsida; Fagales; Fagaceae. The record is from RNAcentral.